AACGAACGCUGGCGGCAGGCCUAACACAUGCAAGUCGAACGCCCGUAGCAAUACGGGAGGUGGCAGACGGGUGAGUAACGCGUGGGAACGUGCCCUUCGGUUCGGAAUAACUCAGGGAAACUUGAGCUAAUACCGGAUACGUCCGUAAGGAGAAAGAUUUAUCGCCGAAGGAUCGGCCCGCGUCGGAUUAGCUAGUUGGUGAGGUAAACGGCCCACCAAGGCGACGAUCCGUAGCUGGUCUGA
This 243-nucleotide ribosomal RNA is filed under the name uncultured bacterium. Its description in RNAcentral is "partial 16S ribosomal RNA". It matches the Rfam family "Bacterial small subunit ribosomal RNA", at positions 29 to 295 of the family's 1533-position model. The record is from RNAcentral.